This 444-nucleotide ribosomal RNA is filed under the name uncultured bacterium. Its description in RNAcentral is "SSU rRNA". It matches the Rfam family "Bacterial small subunit ribosomal RNA", at positions 26 to 518 of the family's 1533-position model. The record is from RNAcentral.
AGAGCGAACGCUGGCGGCAGGCCUAACACAUGCAAGUCGAGCGCCCAGCAAUGGGAGCGGCAGACGGGAUAGUAACACGUGGGAACGUACCUUUCAGUUCGGAACAACCCAGGGAAACUUGGGCUAAUACCGAAUACGCCCGUAAGGGGAAAGAUUUAUCGCUGAAAGAUCGGCCCGCGUCUGAUUAGCUAGUUGGUGGGGUAAUGGCCCACCAAGGCGACGAUCAGUAGCUGGUCUGAGAGGAUGAUCAGCAUCACUGGGACUGAGACACGGCCCAGACUCCUACGGGAGGCAGCAGUGGGGAAUAUUGGACAAUGGGCGCAAGCCUGAUCCAGCCAUGCCGCGUGGAUGAUGAAGGCCCUAGGGUUGUAAAGUCCUUUCGGCGGGGAAGAUAAUGACGGUACCCGCAGAAGAAGCCCCGGCUAACUUCGUGCCAGCAGCCGC